RNAcentral lists this ribosomal RNA (253 nucleotides) under uncultured bacterium. Its description in RNAcentral is "partial 16S ribosomal RNA". It matches the Rfam family "Bacterial small subunit ribosomal RNA", at positions 524 to 776 of the family's 1533-position model. The record is from RNAcentral.
UACGUAGGGUGCAAGCGUUAAUCGGAAUUACUGGGCGUAAAGCGCGCGCAGGCGGUUUUGUAAGACAGAGGUGAAAUCCCCGGGCUCAACCUGGGAACUGCCUUUGUGACUGCAAGGCUUGAGUGCGGCAGAGGGGGAUGGAAUUCCGCGUGUAGCAGUGAAAUGCGUAGAUAUGUGGAGGAACACCGAUGGCGAAGGCAACCCCCUGGGUUAACACUGACGCUCAUGCACGAAAGCGUGGGGAGCAAACAGG